Molecule: long non-coding RNA, 4203 nt
Filed under: Bemisia tabaci
Lineage: Eukaryota; Metazoa; Arthropoda; Insecta; Hemiptera; Aleyrodidae
Description: lncRNA ENSASIAIIG008057
Source: RNAcentral
AAUGAAGAGAGUAGUAAGUGCAUCUUUGUAUGAGCCAUGAUUAACGUAUAUUUUGAUGGGUCUUGAGGCUCAUUUCAGAAUACACUUAAAACUUUUUUCUGCAGCAGUUUCGCGCUCAAACCAUUGUCUUCGGUCGGAACAUGCUGAAACCUGCAGGCUAGCUAAUGUCGGUUUUUUCUUCUCGGUCGUCGUGAGAACGGUUUGAUAGAUCGGAUUAUUAUUAAGUAUUACCGUUUCCUGUAGUGAAGUGUGAUUCGUUGCUACUUUUAUCCUGAUCGUCUUUGCUGUUAAUUGUAUAAGUAGUCGGUUACUCGGUUGUCGUGAGAUUGAACUAUUAUAAUUACUUAUCAUCGUGUUCUUCGGCCGCUCGCCAGUACCUUUGUGAUUGUGAUCUAAAGUUACCUCAAGUGAAGUGUGAGUCGUUAAGUAAUACUUUUAUCCUGGUCGUCUUUGCUGUUAAAUCUGUUGUUUAUGGAAAAACAUUCUUGCCAACAUUCAUGCUUGUUGCAAAGUUGUGUUUGUCUCCAUUGGAAUGCAUGUGACCUUUUUAUUCGAAUGGUUUGAACUUUGAAUCUACAGUCAUGUCGGAUGUUUCUAGUGAUGAGAAGAACCUGUUGUGGUCGGUUGUCAGUUUCGUAGAGGAUAUCGGGGAUUCAUAUGAUGCCAUUCCAAACGUUUGGCUGAAGAAAUCCCAGCCUAACCUAACCUAUUACCCCCCGGAAAGCACACCGGUAAACCGACUAAAAAGUUGGGCCAAAGAAGGCAAAAAACCGGAUAAAAAGACCUGGGAUCUGCUUAAAAUUAAAAUAAUCUUAGCGGAUUAUGAUGAUUAUGAAGUGGCUGUAGAGAAUGCCGUCAGGCUGACUUCUGGCAGGCCCUCCAAGGAGGCAAGCUCUGCAGAGCGGGAGGGGAAAAAAAGAUCAACUGUGAGGAAAGACUUCAGUGAUUUUCUUACCGAAUCCUGCAGCAAAAGUGAAGGCCACAGGGAUGCGUCCUCCAAAUCUACCAAAAAAAAGUCUACAACGAGCAAAUCUGGCAACUUUGGAGGUUCAAUUCCGACUCCACCAACUGGCAGGAGUCAUCCCUCUAAGAGCCAGACCCCUAAAGAUGGAAAAGGCGAUUCUCUUUGCUCGUGCAAAGACUAUCACGUAUGCUUCAGCGAAGAACCUAUAACUCUAGAGUCGAUCGCAAUAAAUAUGUGUAAAUUAUCGCGUUCGAUUGCAAUCAAAAAUAGCUCAGACAGGACAAAAUUCUUGUCUAUUGAAAGCCAUUUCGAAGAAUUGAAUGAAAAAUUCAAGUCCGUACAACUUGCCCAGACAAGUCAAGUUGAAAUUAAUAAGGAAAUACCUCGAAGCAGUGUUCCUGAGACAACUGCUACCACUGUGAAAGCUGACCCGCCCAUCAAGGAAACAGACCUCAUAUUACAGAAAUUUCCAGUUUCUGAUAUUGCAGAAUUUCACAAUUUAGAUGUGCAAUUGAAAAAUGAAGCGCUCCGCUCUGCAGUGGCUGGACAAAUGGCAAAUCUAGUCGACGUUAACGAGACAAGUAAAACUAUCACAGCUCGAAACAUUGUCAAGUAUAUGCUGUCCGCGGACAUCUUAACUCUGAUUUCAUGGAAAGGCCAAACAAGGGGCGGCAUCAGUAAAGUUAGUUUCUUCAACACCAACUUACGAAAGCUUCUGAUCGAUUGCCUGUUGAACAUUUACCGUUUGACCGAGGGCAAAACAAUGGCGAGUGCGGAUUGGUUUGGGGCUUCCAAUCAUAAAAAAAUGUGCUGCAGCGUUUCCUCAUCUGUGAGUCAGGCCUUCUCCCAGAUCUCUAGGAAAGAUGAGGAGAAGUCAAAGAAAUCUUCCCGGUAAAUUUCUUCAUAAACUAAUUUUUUUCGCUUUUUUUUCUCAUGUUCAAAGGUUGUUGGACAAUAAGUUUCCUAAUUUCUCAAGAACUGUGGAAACCAGUAAAAUCUAAACGGAUCUGCUAAACACUUACCCUUUUCCCCUUUUCCCUUCAAUAAUUUAUUUAAAUUUAACCAGUAGUAGAAAUAUAAUAUUCUCCAUUUUUUCUUAAUUUCCCCUCAUUGAAGUUUGUUUCAUUUUAUACUUUCCUUCCUAAAAAUAUGAUAUGAUUUUCAUUUCAGGAAAUCUAAAUCAAGAAGAAGGGCCAGCUCAAGCAGUAUGUCAUCGUCGUCUGCAAUUUCUCAAGACUCUAGCAGUUCACCCUCACAGUCAAGUCGGAAAAGGAAGCACAGAAGCAACAGUAAAAAGUAUCACUCAAAAAAAAGACCAUCUAGAAGCUUUAACAGAUCUCAUUCCCAAAGCGAAUCAACGUCAAGCGAAUCCCCAAGCGUCGUCACAGAUUUGGAGACCAUUUCAACACAGCAGCCUGUUUUGGAGAAUCCUUAAGGGAAGUCAGACAUGUCAGUCAGUCACAAUUUUUGACACACAUUUUUAUUUUUCAAAUUUUGAGGAUUUAAAGUCGAUAUUUUUGGGAAAAAAUAUUGUACUCAUUGUAAGUACUCAUAGUGAGUAUUUUUGGACUUUGUGAUUCAUGGACCUAUCUAAGCUACUUGAAUCAAGUUAUUGUUUUCUUUUUUUUUAUAUUCGUACAGUUUUUAUUCUUGUGAUAAUGAAGCAAAAUUAGAAAUUGCCCUCCAUCAACUUAACGGAGUGAUCUAAUUUUGAAUUUUGCAAUUGAUUGAUCUCCGAGAUUUUAAUCUAAGGCGAUCUCUCAGUCCAAAUUUUUGGGUACUUAAUUUUUUCUAGUUAUUAUUAUUUAGUUCAUAUGGUUGUUUCCUGCCUUUGUGAUUCAUAAGUUAGUUGAAUCAAGUUAUUUUUUCUUCGAUAUUUUUUUCUUUCUUUUUUAUAUUCGUACAGUUUUUAUUCUUGUGAUAAUGAAGCAAAAUUAGAAAUUGUCCUCCAUCAACUUAACAGAGUGAUCUAAUUUUGAAUUUUGCAAUUGAUUGAUCUCCGAGAUUUUAAUCUAAGGCGAUCUCUCAGCCCAAAUUUUUUGGUACUUAAUUUUUUCUAGUUAUUAUUUAGUUCAUUUGGUUGUUUCCUGCCUUUGUGAUUCAUAGAUCUAAGUUACUUGAAUCAAAUUAUUUUUUCUUCGAUAUUCGUACAAAUUUUAUUCAUAAUCAAAAUAUUUCUUUGGGUACCUAGGUAAUGAGGCAAAAUUAGAAAUUGUCCUCCAUCAACUUUACGAAGUGAUCUAAUUUUGAAUUUUGCAAUUGAUUGAUCUCCGAGAUUUUAAUCUAAGGCGAUCUCUCAGCCCAAAUUUUUUGGUAUCUAAUUUUUUCUAGUUAUUAUUAUUUAGUUCAUUUGGUUGUUUCCUGCCUUUGUGAUUCAUAGAUCUAAGUUACUUAAAUCAAGUUAUUUUUUCUUCGAUAUUCAUACAAAUUUUAUUCAUAGUCAAAAUAUUUCUUUUGGUACCUAGGUAAUUAAUGAGGCAAAAUUAGAAAUUGUCCUCCAUCAACUUUACGAAGUGAUCUAAUUUUGAAUUUUGCAAUUGAUUGAUCUCCGAGAUUUUAAUCUAAGGCGAUCUCUCUGUCCAAUUCUUUUGGUAUCUAAUUUUUUCUAGUUAUUAUUAUUUAGUUCAUUUGGUUGUUUCCUGCCUUCUUCGAUAUUCGUACAAAUUUUAUUCAUAGUCAAAAUAUUUCUUUUGGUACCUAGGUAAUUAAUGAGGCAAAAUUAGAAAUUGUCCUCCAUCAACUUUACGAAGUGAUCUAAUUUUGAAUUUUGCAAUUGAUUGAUCUCCGAGAUUUUAAUCUAAGGCGAUCUCUCUGUCCAAUUCUUUUGGUAUCUAAUUUUUUCUAGUUAUUAUUAUCUAGUUCAUUCGGUUGUUUCCUGCCUUUUUAAUUUGUAGAUUAUAACUUUUUUAAUCAAUUGACUUUUGUUUGUUUUGUCAAUAAAUAUUUUUAUCCUGUUACUAUAUUUCUUGGUGAGCAAAACUUCAUUCAAAAGAGGGUCAAGAAGUGGCCCCUUCCAAAUGACAACUAUUCAUUUGUGAUUUUCAAUUGUUCUUUUCUUGCUCUCAUUUGUUUUUUUUUAUUGUUUAAUUGUUCCAUGUUCAUGUUCAUAUUUCAAUAUAGUUAUUUUUGUCAGUCUAUGUCAUAUUGUAUUCCUUUGCAUUGGUUUCAACCGUUCUUAUAGAAGACAUGUUUUUAUGUAUCUAAUUAGUAAUGAAACAAAAAUAAUAGAAUAUUGAAGG